Molecule: ribosomal RNA, 412 nt
Filed under: Rhynchotrochus macgillivrayi
Lineage: Eukaryota; Metazoa; Mollusca; Gastropoda; Stylommatophora; Camaenidae
Description: partial 16S ribosomal RNA
Rfam family: Archaeal large subunit ribosomal RNA
Source: RNAcentral
CAAAAACAUAGCCAUAAGACAGAUUUAUGGUAAUUUCUGCUCAAUGAUGUUUAAAUAGCCGCAGUACCUUGACUGUGCAAAGGUAGCGCAAUCAAUUGGCUUUUAAUUGGAGUCUUGUAUGAAGGAAUAUAUAAGAGGAUAUCUGUAUCUAUUAUAGAUUUGAAAUUACUAAAUAAGUGCAAAAACUUAUAUUAUCUAAUAGACGAGAAGACCCCUGAAAUUUUAAGGAUGUUAUCAAGUACUUUUUGUUGGGGCAACAUAGUAACAGUUAAUUUACUUCGUGACAUGCAAGAUUUUUCUUGUAAGAAUAAAUUACUCAAGGGAUAACAGCAUAAUUUAAUAUAGUUUGUGACCUCGAUGUUGGACUAGGGAACUUUAGUUUAGAAGACUUUAAGGCAUGCUCUGUCGAGCA